This is a small nucleolar RNA of Rattus norvegicus (Norway rat), 132 nucleotides long. Ensembl annotates it as small nucleolar RNA SNORA17. The record is from Ensembl. Lineage: Eukaryota; Metazoa; Chordata; Mammalia; Rodentia; Muridae.
CCUGCCCCUAGAGGCCUUGCAGGUGUGGCUGCUGUGUCACACGUGCAGCAGUAGGUGGCAGAGAGGAGAGAGGCUACGUCUACGCUCCGUGUUCUGACCUACGAAUAUCUGAAUUAUCAGUAGCUUAACAUA